GCUUAGAUGUUGGACUCGGGAGUCUUUAAGAAAACGUAGGCCAAUUCGGAUGUGUCUAAACAUCAUUUCUUUCUGGGAGGGAGGCUGAUUUCACAUUGUUCACCAGUCCGGGAUAACGUUAGCUGCUAGCUAAUGGUUUUAAAUUAUGAAUGAAUGACGUUAGCAGUAGCCUGCUAGUUCUAAUAAGGUAGCGCUAACCAGCUGCCGCAUGCUCAGCCUCAAACACAUACGUCGUAGUUCGACAUUCUCUGCUGGCAGCAACAAAUAGCUUUGGGACUCGUGCUUAUAUUUUUUAUAUGUACAGGUUAGAAACCAGCAAACAGGCCUACUAUUCAAUCUAAAAAGUCCGGUUUCCAGACGUGUUUCCUGGUGACUUUUUAGAUUGAACUGUAGCUGCUAGAGAUUACUCUCUAACUUUUACGAAAUAUAAAUGCACAAAGGGCACGAAGCUAUUUGUUUUCAAUUUUCAUGUAGAAAUACUGUCGUCUACGAGUUCAUUUAAUGACAUUGAAUGUUCCUUGGAGUAAGAUUUAACUGAGAAGAGUCAAAAUAGAAGAGACAGUUGUUGACUUCAUGUAUGUCCUUGCUUUGCCUUGUCACAGACCAGACACUUUGUUGUGAAUGUUUAGAAUAUAUGGGAAGAGGAGCUAAAAUGAUCAGCACCAUAUUCUGUGGAUCCCAAUAUAAUGCAUUUUUUUAAUGGGGUGUAUUAUUGGUUAUGAUAAAUAUUUGCCCAUUUCUUUCUGAUGAUAAACGUAAUGCAUAUUUAUGUAUCUGUGUUGCAGGUCAUUCACAAGUGGCUCCAGUCUGGUUUGGGGGUCCUGCCAUCCAAGUAAAGUUAUUCACAAGUGGCUCCAGUCUGGUUUGGGGGUCUAUGCUUUCUCAUCCUGUCCUGCCACCCAAGUGAAGUUAUUCACAAGUGGCUCCAGUCUGGUUUGGGGGUCUACGCUUUCUCAUCCUGUCCUGAGUGAUUCUUGACAUUGAAAUUAUAUCAAAAUUUGUCAAUAAAUGUUCAUACUUUUGUCAUUAA
Long non-coding RNA from Sardina pilchardus (European sardine), 1030 nucleotides. RefSeq lists it as uncharacterized. The record is from RefSeq and is a predicted model, not a curated record. The transcript is spliced from 3 exons. NCBI's taxonomy places the organism in Eukaryota, Metazoa, Chordata, Actinopteri, Clupeiformes, Clupeidae.